This 1038-nucleotide long non-coding RNA is filed under the name Numida meleagris (helmeted guineafowl). RNAcentral's name for it is "lncRNA (ENSNMEG00000002767.1)". The record is from RNAcentral. Lineage: Eukaryota; Metazoa; Chordata; Aves; Galliformes; Numididae.
GUCAAACUCACUCAAAAUCACCACUGUCCUUAGGGAAAAUCCUCAGCCUGUUUUGCAAAAGACAGUGGGAAAAAAAACCAUCAGUAUAGAUUCCCUCCCCUCUCCAGCACUCGGCAGUCCCACAGGAAGCCCAGCAAAGUCCCUGCACCUCCAAGGCCCACGGAGCUGUGUGCCCACGGUGCACAAGAAGCAGGCUAGCAGGGAGCUGAGAAGCAUGAAGUGGCCUCCUGCAGCAGAAAAACCUGUGUGAGGAUAUGUGAAAAAUAACCCUGACUCGCUAAUCCUAGCUGUGAGCAAACAAUUAGCAGGAAGCAGAGGCAAACAGGAAAGCUGAUUUAAUUAUGUGACACUGAUACAGCCAGUGAACUGGAGGGGAGGGAAGGGGGGAGGUGGGGAGGGCUGGGGAUGUGGGGUCAAAACAGUUUGUAAAAAUCUGUUUCACAAAAGCUGUUGUUCCCCUCGGGGCAGAGAGAGAUUACCGUGGCUCAGUGUCUAUCAAACACGGGAAGAGAAUAGGGCCAGGGGCAAUGAGACAGCUUCCGAGUAUGAAGGGCCCUUCUUCUUCUCCGCAGCAACCAGCAGCCUGCCAAAGAAUUCCUGUAAGCUCUCGGCGGCUUUGUGUGCCUGCCCGGGCUGUGGGGAGCACUGCAGCAGGCCUGCCUAUUGUCGGCAGGGCUCAAAGGGAGCCCGGCAGAGAAAAGGGGAGCUGGGGGAGGAAGAGGGCUUAAGGGAGCUUGUUGUUAUCAAAGCCGUGGAGCUUAUUGUGCCAGAGCAGAAUCACGCUGCCUCUGAGCCCCUUCAGUGUGGCUGCUUAUGGAGGCACUGCGGGCAGACAGGGUGGGAUGUGCUCCUCUCAGUUUGCAGGGUGCCUCUGCGCUGCCCACUAGCACCCUCUGUCCCCAGCUGGGAUGUGCAGGGGGAGGCAGCCCUGCACCCCACUUCCUGUACCCACCAGUAUCCCAGGACACCUGCCACGGGACCAGAGCCCCAUACAGAGCUCCUGCUGAGGCAUCUGCUGCAGCCAGGCGUACACAGGGC